Molecule: long non-coding RNA, 417 nt
Organism: Homalodisca vitripennis (glassy-winged sharpshooter)
Lineage: Eukaryota; Metazoa; Arthropoda; Insecta; Hemiptera; Cicadellidae
Exons: 3
Source: RefSeq, a predicted model, not a curated record
AUGUUUUCUUCCAAAUCAGGAGUUCUACGCUGUCUCUGUACACCUCGGUCUGCAGUAGAAGGCAAAGCAGCUACAAUGAUGCAGUCAAUUAACAUUUUGAUGCUGCUAUUUAAUUGCUGUGACGAUCCACACAGCAUUUUAAAUGCUAAAUAAUGUCUCCACCACAACAAUAUUUUUACAGAGCACAUCGGAUAUGUCAGAGUGCAGGCAGGCUACCUAGUUUCGAAGAUCAGAACACGAAACAAACACAACUCAGCCGUUGGCCCUGCACCACCUUCGCCCGGAGUUCUAGCGAAAAUCUCAUCUCUAACCAAAAGAUGAUUAGUAAAGCCACAAGAGACAAGAAAGAAGUUUGAUAAAAUGCCACAAGAAUAUCCUCCAUUGUCUAGGAAUAAUUAAACUACACGGACUCUAAAA